RNAcentral lists this ribosomal RNA (365 nucleotides) under uncultured bacterium. RNAcentral describes it as "bacterial SSU rRNA". It matches the Rfam family "Bacterial small subunit ribosomal RNA", at positions 28 to 400 of the family's 1533-position model. The record is from RNAcentral.
GAUGAACGCUAGCGGCAGGCUUAACACAUGCAAGUCGAGGGGUAUAGUAGCAAUACUAGAGACCGGCGCACGGGUGCGUAACGCGUAUGCAACCUACCUUUUACAGAGGGAUAGCCCAGAGAAAUUUGGAUUAAUACCUCAUAGUGUUAUUAGAUGGCAUCAUUUGAUAACUAAAGUUCCAACGGUAAAGAUGGGCAUGCGUCCUAUUAGCUAGAUGGUAAGGUAACGGCUUACCAUGGCUACGAUAGGUAGGGGUCCUGAGAGGGAGAUCCCCACACUGGUACUGAGACACGGACCAGACUCCUACGGGAGGCAGCAGUGAGGAAUAUUGGACAAUGGGCGCAAGCCUGAUCCAGCCAUGCCGC